Molecule: long non-coding RNA, 338 nt
Organism: Gigantopelta aegis
Lineage: Eukaryota; Metazoa; Mollusca; Gastropoda; Neomphalida; Peltospiridae
Exons: 3
Source: RefSeq, a predicted model, not a curated record
UCCAGUCAGGUCAUCAGUUGUAAAAGUAAACAUGCCCGAAGAAGACAGGUGCUCUGGCCGGUCAACUUUACCUCAGUGGUUCGUGUUACAGGCAGACCGCUGUGCACACACUCUGUAUCCAGGUGUGUGUCUGUGACACCUCCAUGGACCUACCAGUCUCCAGUUACCAGGGACCACUUUCUCAAGACACAGCAGUGCAGUCUUGCUGUUGCAUGAUUCCUCAAUGGAGAACAAGUAUGGUGUUCAAUGACCCCGGCCGACAGCAGGUGAGUGCAGAACUGAGUGACGACGACCCGCAGGUCGUGUUUGGUGAGGACCAGGUGCAGGUAGUGAGACUC